GAUCAUGGCUCAGGAUGAACGCUAGCUACAGGCUUAACACAUGCAAGUCGAGGGGAAACGACAUCGAAAGCUUGCUUCCGAUGGGCGUCGACCGGCGCACGGGUGAGUAACGCGUAUCCAACCUGCCCACCACUUGGGGAUAACCUUGCGAAGGUAAGACUAAUACCCAAUGACAUCCCACGAGGACAUCUGAAUGGGAUUAAAGAUUUAUCGGUGAUGGAUGGGGAGUGCGU
RNAcentral lists this ribosomal RNA (233 nucleotides) under uncultured bacterium. RNAcentral describes it as "partial 16S ribosomal RNA". It matches the Rfam family "Bacterial small subunit ribosomal RNA", at positions 15 to 236 of the family's 1533-position model. The record is from RNAcentral.